CCCUUAGAUGUUCUGGGCCGCACGCGCGCUACACUGAUGAAUGCAACGAGCUCUACCCUUGACCGAAAGGCCCGGGUAAACUUGUGAAACUUCAUCGUGAUGGGGAUAGAUUAUUGCAAUUAUUAAUCUUCAACGAGGAAUUCCUAGUAAGCGCGAGUCAUCAGCUCGCGUUGAUUACGUCCCUGCCCUUUGUACACACCGCCCGUCGCUCCUACCGAUUGAAUGGUCCGGUGAAAUCUUCGGAUUGCUGACCAAGAUCCAGCAAUGGAGCUUGGUUGCGAGAAGUUGAUUAAACCUUAUUAUUUAAAGGAAGGAGAAGUCGUAACA
RNAcentral lists this ribosomal RNA (327 nucleotides) under uncultured eukaryote. Its description in RNAcentral is "partial 18S ribosomal RNA". It matches the Rfam family "Eukaryotic small subunit ribosomal RNA", at positions 1470 to 1796 of the family's 1831-position model. The record is from RNAcentral.